UUACGGGAGGCAGCAGUGAGGAAUUUUGCGCAAUGGCCGCAAGGCUGACGCAGCAACGCCGCGUGGGUGAAGAAGGCCUUCGGGUCGUAAAGCCCUGUCAGGUGGGAAGAAUGACGGAGGGAUGAAUAAGCCUUCCGUGUGACGGUACCACCAGAGGAAGCACCGGCUAACUCCGUGCCAGCAGCCGCGGUAAUACGGAGGGUGCAAGCGUUAUUCGGAAUUACUGGGCGUAAAGCGCGUGCAGGCGGGCGGACAAGUCUGAUGUGAAAGCCCCGGGCUUAACCUGGGAAGUGCAUUGGAUACUGUUCGUCUUGAGUUGCGGAGAGGAAGGGGGAAUUCCCGGUGUAGAGGUGAAAUUCGUAGAGAUCGGGAGGAAUACCAGUGGCGAAGGCGCCCUUCUGGACGACAACUGACGCUGAGACGCGAAAGCGUGGGGAGCAAACAGGAUUAGAUACCCCGGU
Molecule: ribosomal RNA, 461 nt
Filed under: uncultured bacterium
Lineage: Bacteria
Description: bacterial SSU rRNA
Rfam family: Bacterial small subunit ribosomal RNA
Source: RNAcentral